RNAcentral lists this long non-coding RNA (294 nucleotides) under Triticum aestivum (bread wheat). RNAcentral's name for it is "long non-coding RNA (TAES_LNC006237)". Lineage: Eukaryota; Viridiplantae; Streptophyta; Magnoliopsida; Poales; Poaceae. The record is from RNAcentral.
AAAUAGAAGAUGAAGAGGGCUUUUUCAUCGGUGCCCGCAGUGGGAGUGUCUACACCCUAUAGUUUGAGCUCAGGGGGAUCAGGGAGUGUACUUGCAAGUAUUGACGAAUGACGAUGAUGAUAUUUUAUAUCGUUUUCAGUCCUAUAGGUCCCACAAAGGGGUUUUUACCUCCUGCUGUAGUGGUAUGUUUUCAGAUUUGGUUCAGUGGUAAUGAUUUGACUUGAUGUUUAUGUCUUUUCUUAUGAAAAUACACUUUUGAUUGAUGUCUUGAAGGUGUUGCUACUUCUUCUACCU